RNAcentral lists this ribosomal RNA (122 nucleotides) under Cricetulus griseus (Chinese hamster). Lineage: Eukaryota; Metazoa; Chordata; Mammalia; Rodentia; Cricetidae. The record is from RNAcentral.
GUCUACAGCCAUACCACCCUGAACAUGCCUGAUCUCCUCUGAUCUUAGAAGUUAAGCAAGGUUGGGCCUGGUUAGUACUUGGAUGGGACACAAAACCCAAUGAUAAAAAUAAGAGUUACACU